This is a long non-coding RNA of Triticum aestivum (bread wheat), 3391 nucleotides long. RefSeq lists it as uncharacterized. NCBI's taxonomy places the organism in Eukaryota, Viridiplantae, Streptophyta, Magnoliopsida, Poales, Poaceae. The transcript has 3 exons. The record is from RefSeq and is a predicted model, not a curated record.
AUCGGAGGCACGAUCCAGAGUCUCAACAGGAAAAAAAAAACUAUACGAGAGCCACACGCACCCAGCUAUCCCAAUGUGAGCGAGCGUGGGGAAACCUAAGGCCACCGAGGCAUCAUGGAAAGACUCGCCGCCUCCACCGACGAUCACCUCAAUCGGGAGGUCCCACCGCGAUUUGUCAGCUCUACUAGCGGCGGUGCCAGCGACCCUAGAACCCUAGGCGAGCCCACGAGCAGUCGCUCAAGAUGAACAAUGUUGUUCUUUAAUCUGCAGUUAUGGGAGGGAUAGAAGUGGAUCUGAACAGUGGCAAUGCUAACUGUAAUCAUCCAUGGCUAGCAAUUUGACAGUACUCCAAAUAAUCCAUGACACCUCCAAGAAAGACAAUUCUACACGACUGCGUACAUAAUCUUCCGGCCCGAAAAACAUAAAUCAGAAAGGUGAAUAUUGUGUACAGUCUGGGCUUUGCUACCCCUCCUCCCCAUUAAAAAUCAUGAUCUUUCUUUUUGUUUGUGUCCUACUGCCAAUGUGUGCAAUGUUCAAUGUUGAUUUGUGCUGCAUUUUUUGCAAGAAAAGAAUAUGUUUCAUCAUGUCACCGGUCUGCAUCUAUAGGUGAAGUCAAUGAUAUGGAGCACUUGGAACAUGUGAGGUUGGCAUGUCCUUGAGUGCAAGAGUUUAGCCACCAAGUUAUGGUCUCUAACGAUUAGUGGUAUUUUUCUCAACUACUUCGAUAAAAAUCUAGGAAAUAUCACAUAUAUCGUUCGCUUACACAUCUUUGUUCCUUUAUAUUUCCUAUUCAAUUAAAUGUAUUUAUAUGUUAUUUGGAGAGUGUACGUAGAGGCGGUGUUGCAGUUUUUACCGAUUAAUGAUCAGAUAUUUUCUCUGGAAAUAUCUUAGCCAAUUAUUUGAGGCAUUGGCCUUUAUUGAAGGUGCCAUGGUGUUUUCUCUCUAGAGAGAUCUCAGCCAACUAUUUGCGACAUUGGCCUUUAUUGAAGGUGCCAUGGUUUUUCUCGUUAAAAAUAUCUCAUGCAAAUUAUUUCCGACAUUGCCAUUUAUUGAAGGUGCCAUGGUGUUUUCAUGAUCUUUGAACCUUGGAGAAACAUAUGUUGUCUUCGACUAUUGCCAGGUGCAUGCCUAUUUCUACUAUUUGAUUAUUACAAUUACUAAAUGUAUCGCAAUUGUUGUAAGAUGAACUUUCUGAGAAUAUGGCACAUAUAGGAAUUAUGAAGUGUGUUUUGAUGGAUACAUCAAAGGAAAUAGCGAUGUCUAAUUUGUGCUGAAUAUUACUUUGUAUUAGUUCAUACCUAAGCAUACCUUUUUAUUUGUACAAUAAGAAAUUUGUAACUAAUCAAACCACUUCAUACUGAAGUUUCUUGUUGUCGGUAUUGCUCCUGGAUCAAUUUGCUACCAUUCAGUUGAGCAGUGUGUAGUCCUUUUGCUCUGAUGAAGACACAAGUGUAUAAUUUUCUCUUAUAAAUCAUAUGUUUGCAUUGUAACUAAGACUAAGACCAUCAUUAGUAAAAUUGUUCCAAGAUUGAUGUUAUGCGUGACCAUACAUUUAUCAUAUAAGUUGCAUUGGAUAAUUAAAAUAUGUUUACCCCUCCAAGAUUUUUUGUUUCACUGUAUCACGUAGUUGAUCAAGUUAAGCCUGUGGUUUUGGUCCCUCAUCCCUGCGGCAUGAGGUGAAGCUCUAGCUCAAAUCUUCCUCCAGCAGCGAUGGGAAAAUUUAUGCAUUCAUGGUCAUAUCAGUACUUUUGGCAGAAAGAUGAACAGUACAACUUUUUGUCACCGUUAGUGCUUCAUGCUGUGAGUGAAAUUAUAUUGUUGAUUUGCUACAAAAAAUGUCAUUCCAAUAAAUUUGACAGAGAGGGCGGGAAUUUUCCUAUGCAAACUGUACUUAAAGUCCCGUUUUAUUGCUACUUGGUAAUAUAUCCAAUACGUACCCAAUUUGUCCAACCAUGCUGUCGUGUCACAGUGAAAUACUACUACAGCUUGAUGUGCUCAAAGCCUCAAACUAGAAAUAUAUCAAAAAUAAAAAACUAUGUGAGUGAAAAUGCACUCACUCUGAUAGGAGCCAUUUUGAUCAAUAUAUUUAUCAUAUAUGUUAUUAGUGCAAUUGCAAUUAUAACAAAGCUUCCUAAUGUCAAAGGUUUGUCGGAGAGAUAAUGGUCUCCGCACUAUUGCACUAUAGCUCACAAUGUAUGACACAUUAUUCAUUUUGUGCUACAAACUAUUUCUCUAAAUACCGACUAUGUUGCUUCCAUGCUUCCUUGCACUUGCUUUCUUUUUUUGCCUAAUGGUUAAGGAGAUUGUUUUUUACUUUUGUCUAAUGGUUACUUUACCACUCAUUCCUUGGCCUCCUAUAGAAAUAUGUGUUGUCCUCUCUUUACCAUUGGCUCCUUGGAAGCACUAUGUUGCUAGCACCAUGCAUCCCGUGACAGCAAUGAAAAACCUAUUGCCUAAGCGGAUGGGCGCGCAAAUAAGGUACUGUUAAAAAUCACAUCCUUGUCUUCAUCAUCUAUUGAUUAUUUCCAAUCUAAAGAUAGAGAACAACUUCUGUGGCAGCAUGUGAGAGGCUAAAUAAGGAGAGAUAGUCCCCUCAGAAAAUUUACUUUGCUUUGAAAAAGACAAAGAGUAAAACUUAUAUUCUAAAUCUAUGUUUGUUUUGCACUAAGCUAAUAACCAGCAUUAGUGUUUUUGUUCUAGGAUCCAUGCCAUUAAUUCAUGCACAUACAUUUGUCCCCAUGUUAUUGAUACUUAAUAUAUCCUGCCUCCAAGUUUUACUGUAGACACAUUGCCACAUUUUGUACAAUAUGCAUAAGCUUCUUAUGUGUAGUAUGUUUUAACAUGUCCGUUCAUGUCCAUGCCUUUUUAAAAGUAGACUGAAAGUCAUAUUUCUAACACUCCCCAAGAGAUUGUCGUGUUGAUUCUUUGAUAACUUUCACACGCGGGCAUAUUAUAUAUGUAAUAUAGGGAUGGAUCUCUGAGUUGUUUCUACCUUUUUUUAGCAAACUCAGUUGUUUCUGUUGUAUGUGGAAGAUCUGUGCAUGUGCUAUAUAACUUGUGUUGUUGGGUUUUCUUAGUGCAUCGGCAAUAUGCGCACCCUCUUAUGGCCCAAUCUGUGAACAUCGCUUCAUUAUGUUGAUGCCAUGCCAAAGAAUGUUUAAUGUACAUGCGUCUUAGUAAAGCAAAACGAUAACUAGGCCGACUGUCAAUCAUACAUACGAAACACAAUCUGGAUCAAACUGACUUAUCAGUUAUAAGAAUAUACAACUUUCCAUAGUUGUGACUAUUUUUGGAAAUUCUGAUUAUUUUAUCGUCAAAAUGAACGGGCGCAGCAACGCGCGCCAUCAAGGAUCUAGUUGUUAACAAGACCGGUAAUCACUAUUGCAAUUUC